RNAcentral lists this ribosomal RNA (800 nucleotides) under Nocardiopsis sp. D149. Its description in RNAcentral is "bacterial SSU rRNA". It matches the Rfam family "Bacterial small subunit ribosomal RNA", at positions 38 to 843 of the family's 1533-position model. Lineage: Bacteria; Bacillati; Actinomycetota; Actinomycetes; Streptosporangiales; Nocardiopsidaceae. The record is from RNAcentral.
GGCGGCGUGCUACACAUGCAAGUCGAGCGGUAAGGCCCUUCGGGGUACACGAGCGGCGAACGGGUGAGUAACACGUGAGCAACCUGCCCCUGACUCUGGGAUAAGCGGUGGAAACGCCGUCUAAUACCGGAUACGACCCGCCACCUCAUGGUGGAGGGUGGAAAGUUUUUCGGUCAGGGAUGGGCUCGCGGCCUAUCAGCUUGUUGGUGGGGUAACGGCCUACCAAGGCGAUUACGGGUAGCCGGCCUGAGAGGGCGACCGGCCACACUGGGACUGAGACACGGCCCAGACUCCUGCGGGAGGCAGCAGUGGGGAAUAUUGCGCAAUGGGCGAAAGCCUGACGCAGCGACGCCGCGUGGGGGAUGACGGCCUUCGGGUUGUAAACCUCUUUUACCACCAACGCAGGCUCCCAGUUCUCUGGGGGUUGACGGUAGGUGGGGAAUAAGGACCGGCUAACUACGUGCCAGCAGCCGCGGUAAUACGUAGGGUCCGAGCGUUGUCCGGAAUUAUUGGGCGUAAAGAGCUCGUAGGCGGCGUGUCACGUCUGCUGUGAAAGACCGGGGCUUAACUCCGGUUCUGCAGUGGAUACGGGCAUGCUAGAGGUAGGUAGGGGAGACUGGAAUUCCUGGUGUAGCGGUGAAAUGCGCAGAUAUCAGGAGGAACACCGGUGGCGAAGGCGGGUCUCUGGGCCUUACCUGACGCUGAGGAGCGAAAGCAUGGGGAGCGAACAGGAUUAGAUACCCUGGUAGUCCAUGCCGUAAACGUUGGGCGCUAGGUGUGGGGACUUUCCACGGUUUCCG